AGACGCACCUGUUAGCGUUUAGUAGUCAAGACGAUACGCAGGUAUUAUUUUUCUGAACCUGUUGCGAUACGACAGAGAAAACGCGCUAUUUAGGCUUCGAAAGUCAAGGUGUCAUGGGGUCAUGGAUGCUGGUUCUGUGUACCACAGUCACUCUGAUGCCUGUGUGUCUUCAUGGAGCAAUAUCAGUCCGCUUUAAGACCGGACGGCCUCUCUAUGUGGCACUCGGCCGAACUCUUGUUUUGGAAGUCGAAUUCAAGAAGGACUCGGACGACAAAAUAGACAUGGUGACGUGGGACCGCGAGAGAGGAAAUGUCACUGUCAGACUGUCACAUGGAAACAGAAUAUCUUUGGAGAACGGAGAUGCACUUCUGCGGGUCACUGAUGUUGCAGAAGGGGACCUUGCGACCUACAAAGUCACCGUUACAGACAGUAACGGAUACCAGCAGCAAGACUCCAUAGAAGUACAAAAGAUAGGUAAAUCGGUUUCAUUUUAUCUAUACAAAUGUUGUUUCACGACUGCCCUGUGCUCCAGAAGUUUUGCAUAUUUUCUUUUUUUCUUUUUUUUUUUUAACGCAGCAUGUCGUGCAAAACUCAAAGAAACUAGUUGA
Molecule: long non-coding RNA, 608 nt
Organism: Cyprinus carpio (common carp)
Lineage: Eukaryota; Metazoa; Chordata; Actinopteri; Cypriniformes; Cyprinidae
Source: Ensembl